UAUUCUGCCCCACGGGGAAGGAUGAGAAGCUUCGACUAAGGUUCGACUCGAGCGAAGCGAGAGAACGUUGCCGCAGGCAACGGCCCGAAG
Molecule: small RNA, 90 nt
Filed under: Klebsiella pneumoniae
Lineage: Bacteria; Pseudomonadati; Pseudomonadota; Gammaproteobacteria; Enterobacterales; Enterobacteriaceae
Also listed under: 2 other names
Description: partial RtT sRNA
Rfam family: RtT RNA
About the family: This family represents a bacterial cis-regulatory element known as RtT RNA. The exact function of RtT is unknown although it is thought that it may be involved in changing the cellular response in relation to amino acid starvation.
Source: RNAcentral